AAAUUUAACCCAUGGUAGGGAGUACCAUGACCACAGAGGUGGUUUUCCCAGGGUGAGGCUUAUUCAUUCCACUUGGGAUGUGCUGACCCCUGUGCUUUCCCCAAACGUGGGAAACUCAACUGCACAAUUUGUGGUAGUGAGGGACUGUGUUUGUGCUUUCCCUGG
Molecule: small nuclear RNA, 165 nt
Filed under: Dasypus novemcinctus (nine-banded armadillo)
Lineage: Eukaryota; Metazoa; Chordata; Mammalia; Cingulata; Dasypodidae
Description: U1 spliceosomal RNA (ENSDNOG00000039499.1)
Rfam family: U1 spliceosomal RNA
About the family: U1 is a small nuclear RNA (snRNA) component of the spliceosome (involved in pre-mRNA splicing).
Source: RNAcentral